UACGUAGGGUGCGAGCGUUGUCCGGAAUUAUUGGGCGUAAAGAGCUCGUAGGCGGUCUGUCGCGUCGGACGUGAAAACCCAGGGCUCAACCCUGGGCCUGCGUUCGAUACGGGCAGACUAGAGUUCGGUAGGGGAGACUGGAAUUCCUGGUGUAGCGGUGAAAUGCGCAGAUAUCAGGAGGAACACCGGUGGCGAAGGCGGGUCUCUGGGCCGAAACUGACGCUGAGGAGCGAAAGCGUGGGGAGCGAACAGG
RNAcentral lists this ribosomal RNA (253 nucleotides) under uncultured bacterium. RNAcentral describes it as "partial 16S ribosomal RNA". It matches the Rfam family "Bacterial small subunit ribosomal RNA", at positions 524 to 776 of the family's 1533-position model. The record is from RNAcentral.